GAUGAACGCUGGCGGCGUGCCUAAUACAUGCAAGUCGAGCGAACAGACGAGGAGCUUGCUCCUCUGACGUUAGCGGCGGACGGGUGAGUAACACGUGGAUAACCUACCUAUAAGACUGGGAUAACUUCGGGAAACCGGAGCUAAUACCGGAUAAUAUAUUGAACCGCAUGGUUCAAUAGUGAAAGACGGUUUUGCUGUCACUUAUAGAUGGAUCCGCGCCGCAUUAGCUAGUUGGUAAGGUAACGGCUUACCACGGCAACGAUGCGUAGCCGACCUGAGAGGGUGAUCGGCCACACUGGAACUGAGACACGGUCCAGACUCCUACGGGAGGCAGCAGUAGGAAUCUUCCGCAAUGGGCGAAAGCCUGACGGAGCAACGCCGCGUGAGUGAUGAAGGUCUUCGGAUCGUAAAACUCUGUUAUUAGGGAAGAACAAAUGUGUAAGUAACUAUGCACGUCUUGACGGUACCUAAUCAGAAAGCCACGGCUAACUACGUG
Molecule: ribosomal RNA, 496 nt
Filed under: uncultured bacterium
Lineage: Bacteria
Description: partial 16S ribosomal RNA
Rfam family: Bacterial small subunit ribosomal RNA
Source: RNAcentral